AGUGAACGCUGGCGGUAGGCCUAACACAUGCCAGUCGAACGGCAGCACAGUAAGAGCUUGCUCUUACGGGUGGCGAGUGGCGGACGGGUGAGGAAUACAUCGGAAUCUACUUUUUCGUGGGGGAUAACGUAGGGAAACUUACGCUAAUACCGCAUACGACCUACGGGUGAAAGCAGGGGAUCUUCGGACCUUGCGCGAGUGAAUGAGCCGAUGUCGGAUUAGCUAGUUGGCGGGGUAAAGGCCCACCAGGCGACGAUCCGUAGCUGGUCUGAGAGGAUGAUCAGCCACACUGGAACUGAGACACGGUCCAGACUCCUACGGGAGGCAGCAGUGGGGAAUAUUGGACAAUGGGCGCAAGCCUGAUCCAGCCAUACCGCGUGGGUGAAGAAGGCCUUCGGGUUGUAAAGCCCUUUUGUUGGGAAAGAAAAGCAGCAGGUUAAUACCCCGCUGUUCUGACGGUACCAAAAGAAUAAGCACCGGCUAACUUCGUG
RNAcentral lists this ribosomal RNA (491 nucleotides) under uncultured bacterium. RNAcentral describes it as "partial 16S ribosomal RNA". It matches the Rfam family "Bacterial small subunit ribosomal RNA", at positions 29 to 507 of the family's 1533-position model. The record is from RNAcentral.